This 403-nucleotide ribosomal RNA is filed under the name uncultured bacterium. Its description in RNAcentral is "partial 16S ribosomal RNA". It matches the Rfam family "Bacterial small subunit ribosomal RNA", at positions 30 to 526 of the family's 1533-position model. The record is from RNAcentral.
AUUGAACGCUGGCGGCAGGCCUAACACAUGCAAGUCGAGCGAGCGGAGGACGGGUGAGUAAUGUAUGGGGACUGCCCGAUCGAGGGGGAUAACUGCGGGAAACGGUGGAUAAUACCGCAUACUAUCGGCUAACCCAGAUGGGAUUAGCGAGUAGGUGGGGUAAAGGCUCACCUGGGCGACGAUGUCUAGCAGGUCUGAGAGGGUGAUCAGCCACACUGGGACUGGGCCACGGCCCAGACUCCUACGGAGGCAUCAGUUGGGAAUCUUGGCCAAUUGGCGCAAUCCUGAUCGAGCCAUGCCGCGUGUAUGAAGAAGGCUUUAGGGUUGUAAAACUCUUUUAUCGGAGAAGCGGUACCCGCACAAAAAGCACCGGCUAACUCCGGGCCAGCCGCCGCGGUAAUAC